This is a non-coding RNA of Salmo salar (Atlantic salmon), 55 nucleotides long. The record is from Rfam. Lineage: Eukaryota; Metazoa; Chordata; Actinopteri; Salmoniformes; Salmonidae.
UCACAUCCAAUUUGUAAGUCGCUCUGGAUAAGAGCGUCUGCUUAAAUGACUUAAA